AUUUCCUCGGUGUUUGGCACAGGAAAAUUUGAGUUUCCAAGAGGGGGCGGCCCAGGAAUUA
This 61-nucleotide transfer RNA is filed under the name Siphonaria pectinata. RNAcentral's name for it is "tRNA-Gln". Lineage: Eukaryota; Metazoa; Mollusca; Gastropoda; Siphonariida; Siphonariidae. The record is from RNAcentral.